CCGGGGCGCAUCGCGGUGCAGGACGACCUGGACAACACAGAGCUGCCCUUCUUCACCCUGGAGAUGUCGGGCACGGCGGCGGACAUCUCGCUGGUGCACUGGCGGCAGCAGUGGCUGGAGAAUGGCACCUUGUACUUCCACGUCUCCAUGAGCAGCUCUGGACAGCUGGCCCGGGCCACCGCCCCCACCCUCCAGGAGCCCUCAGAGAUCGUAGAGGAGCAGAUGCACAUUCUCCACAUUUCUGUGAUGGGUGGCCUCAUCGCGCUGCUGCUGCUGCUGCUGGUGUUCACGGUGGCGCUCUACGCCCAGCGGCGCUGGCAGAAGCGUCGCCGCAUCCCCCAGAAGAGCGCUAGCACGGAAGCCACUCACGAGAUCCACUACAUCCCCUCCGUGCUGCUGGGCCCCCAGGCCCGGGAAACCUUCCGCUCCUCCCGGCUGCAGGCCCACAAUUCCGUCAUCGGCGUGCCCAUCCGGGAGACCCCCAUCCUGGACGACUAUGACUACGAGGAGGAGGAGGACCUGCCCCGGCGGGCCAACCAUGUCUCCCGUGAGGACGAGUUUGGCAGCCAGGUGACCCACACCCUGGACAGCCUGGGCCGACCAGGGGAAGAGAAAGGGGACUUUGAGAAGAAAGCGGCAGCCGAGGUGACGCAGGAGCCAGUGGAGUCCCUGAUGCAGAAGUUCAAGGAGAGUUUCCGCGCCAACACGCCCAUCGAGAUCGGUCAGCUGCAGCCAGCACUGCGCAGCGCCUCGGCAGGGAGGAGGAAGAGAAGAAGCAGGUCCCGAGGAUGGGGAGACUGGCCGAGUGGCAGAUUUGGGAAGGCUCAUCAAGAAUUCUGGGGCAUCAGCUUUGGGAGGACCAAGGGGACGUCGGGUUCAGAGGCAGAUGACGAAACGCAGCUGACGUUCUACACGGAGCAGUACCGCAGCCGUCGCCGCAGCAAAGGUUUGCUGAAAAGUCCAGUGAACAAGACGGCCCUGACACUGAUUGCUGUGAGCUCCUGCAUCCUGGCCAUGGUGUGUGGCAGUCAGAUGUCCUGUCCACUCACUGUGAAGGUGACUCUGCAUGUGCCGGAGCACUUCAUUGCAGACGGGAGCAGCUUUGUGGUGAGUGAAGGGAGCUACCUGGACAUCUCCGACUGGUUAAACCCAGCCAAGCUGUCCCUGUAUUACCAGAUCAACGCCACCUCCCCGUGGGUGAGGGACCUCUGCGGACAGAGGACGACAGACGCCUGUGAGCAGCUCUGCGACCCAGAAACCGGAGAGUGCAGCUGUCAUGAAGGCUACGCCCCAGACCCAGUUCACAGACACCUGUGUGUGCGCAGUGACUGGGGACAGAGUGAAGGACCCUGGCCUUACACGACACUCGAGAGGGGCUACGAUCUGGUGACAGGGGAGCAAGCCCCUGAAAAGAUUCUCAGGUCUACUUUCAGCUUGGGCCAAGGACUCUGGCUUCCUGUCAGCAAAAGCUUUGUGGUUCCGCCCGUGGAGCUGUCCAUCAACCCCCUGGCCAGCUGCAAGACCGACGUGCUCGUCACGGAAGACCCUGCAGAUGUCAGGGAAGAAGCGAUGCUGUCCACAUACUUUGAAACCAUCAAUGACCUGCUGUCCUCCUUUGGGCCAGUCCGUGACUGCUCUCGAAACAACGGGGGCUGCACUCGAAACUUCAAGUGUGUGUCUGACCGCCAGGUGGACUCCUCGGGAUGUGUGUGCCCGGAGGAGCUGAGGCCCAUGAAGGACGGCUCCGGCUGCUAUGACCACUCCAAAGGCAUCGACUGCUCUGAUGGCUUCAACGGUGGCUGUGAGCAGCUAUGCCUGCAGCAGACACUGCCUUUGCCCUACGACACCACCUCCAGCACCAUCUUCAUGUUCUGCGGCUGUGUGGAGGAGUACAAGCUGGCUCCCGAUGGAAAAUCCUGCCUCAUGCUCUCAGAUGUUUGCGAGGGCCCCAAGUGCCUCAAACCGGACUCCAAAUUCAACGACACCCUCUUUGGAGAGAUGCUGCAUGGUUACAACAACCGGACCCAGCGUGUGAACCAAGGCCAAGUCUUCCAGAUGACUUUUAGGGAGAACAACUUCAUCAAGGACUUCCCUCAGCUGGCCGACGGGCUGUUGGUGAUCCCGCUGCCGGUGGAGGAGCAGUGCAGGGGGGUCCUCUCCGAGCCCCUCCCGGACCUCCAGCGGCUCACUGGCGACAUCAGGUAUGACGAGGCCAUGGGUUACCCCAUGGUGCAGCAGUGGCGGGUCCGCAGCAACCUGUACCGCGUGAAGCUCAGCACCAUCACCCUCUCAGCAGGCUUCACCAACGUCCUCAAGAUCCUGACCAAGGAGAGCAGUCGGGAGGAGCUGCUGUCCUUCAUCCAGCACUACGGCUCCCACUACAUCGCAGAGGCCCUCUAUGGCUCCGAGCUCACCUGCAUCAUCCACUUUCCCAGCAAGAAGGUCCAGCAGCAGCUGUGGCUCCAGUACCAGAAAGAGACCACGGAGUUGGGCAGCAAGAAGGAGCUCAAGUCCAUGCCCUUCAUCACCUACCUCUCAGGUCUGCUGACGGCCCAGAUGCUGUCAGAUGACCAGCUCAUCUCGGGUGUGGAGAUCCGCUGUGAAGAGAAAGGCCGCUGUCCAUCAACCUGCCACCUUUGCCGCCGACCGGGCAAAGAGCAGUUGAGCCCCACCCCGGUACUGCUGGAGAUCAGCCGUGUGGCACCACUUUACAGCCUCAUCCAGGACAAUGGCACCAAGGAGGCCUUCAAGAGUGCACUGAUGAGCUCCUACUGGUGCUCAGGGAAAGGGGACGUGAUCGAUGACUGGUGCAGGUGUGACCUCAGUGCCUUUGAUGCCAGUGGGCUCCCCAACUGCAGCCCUCUCCCGCAGCCGGUGCUGCGGCUCUCCCCAACCGUAGAGCCCUCCAGCACCGUGGUCUCCUUGGAGUGGGUAGAUGUUCAGCCAGCUAUUGGGACCAAGGUCUCUGACUAUAUUCUGCAGCACAAGAAGGUGGAUGAAUACACAGAUACAGACCUCUACACGGGAGAAUUCCUGAGUUUUGCUGAUGACUUACUCUCUGGCCUGGGCACAUCUUGUGUAGCAGCUGGUCGAAGCCAUGGAGAGGUCCCUGAAGUCAGUAUCUACUCCGUCAUCUUCAAGUGUCUGGAGCCCGACGGUCUCUACAAGUUCACCCUCUAUGCUGUGGACACACGAGGGAGGCACUCAGAGCUCAGCACUGUGACCCUGCGGACCGCCUGCCCGCUGGUGGAUGACAACAAAGCAGAAGAGAUCGCCGACAAGAUCUACAAUCUGUACAAUGGGUACACAAGUGGCAAGGAACAGCAGACUGCCUACAAUACGCUGAUGGAAGUCUCAGCCUCCAUGCUGUUUCGAGUCCAGCACCACUACAACUCUCACUAUGAGAAGUUCGGCGACUUCGUCUGGAGGAGUGAGGAUGAGCUGGGGCCCAGGAAGGCCCACCUGAUCCUGAGGCGCCUGGAGAGGGUGAGCAGCCACUGUUCCAGCCUCCUGCGCAGUGCCUACAUCCAGAGCCGUGUGGACACUGUGCCCUACCUUUUCUGCCGCAGCGAGGAGGUCCGGCCUGCCGGUAUGGUGUGGUACAGCAUCCUCAAGGACACCAAAAUCACAUGCGAGGAGAAGAUGGUGUCCAUGGCCCGAAACACUCCCAAGGCAGGAGCUUUCAGGCGGAGACCAAGCGGCCUUUCCUCUUCUUCUUCCUCCGGCCGCACUCAGCUUCCUUCCUGCCAUGGACCCCAGGAGGAGACCUACGGAGAGACAGUUGGACCUCUUCAGCAUCAGGAUGGAGGCCCCGAGGAUUGUUGCAGUGAGGAAGCUUGGGUCUUUAGGACCUUUUAUUUUUCAGACGUGUUUGAAUUUGCAGGACCCCUGCCUCUUCCUGCUGCCUGUGGGUCUGCCCAGAGUCCCUGCAGGACUUUCCAUGCAUUAAAAAUUCCUAUUGUCUCUCUUUCUGCUUGGGUGGUGUUUCUUACAAAUGGGGGGGCCUCUGUUUAUUCAGUCAACAAAUAGUGAUUAUCUACUAUAUAGUAGGCACUGGGCAUGCAGCUAAAGACAGAGAUGCUCCCUGUUCUCAGGGAGUAUACAGCCCAGUGGAAAUGGUAGAGAAACCACCAGUUAUUUCAGGCUGUGGUAGGGGAAGGUUGGAGGUUCCUGGGGCUCAUUGCUGGGUCAUGAGACAAACUGGAGGGGUUCUGAGAUGCAUUCUUGAAAAAGCGAUGCCUAGGCCCAAAAGAUGGGGGUGGGGUGGGGUUUGCUCCAGGCAAGUGGGACACCGUGAACAGAAGUCCAGAGAUAAGAGAAAAGAAAACCCCUUCAAGAGCUGAAAGCACUUCCAUUGAGAACGGAGAUCAAAGUAGGAAGAAGCCGUAGGUGAGGCUGGGAGCUAGGCAUAGCGUUGGAAGUCUCGGGGAAAAAGUUUGAUGGUAUUUGAAGUAACUGAGAGUCACUGCAGAACAUUAACACAGGAGUCGACUUGUUCUUUAAGAAAAACCAUCCCAGAUCCAGAGCGUAGGUUGGACUGGAGAAAGCUUCGAAGAAGAGAGUGACUUCUGUCAUUUUCCAGAAGUGAUGGCAGUUUGGACCCUGAGUUCUGGAGGCUGGAAAGUCCAAGAUCAAGGCAUCAGCAGAUUUGGUGUCUGGGGAGAGCUGAAACUCAGCCCCGUGCAGGAGAGAGAGAGAACUGGGUUCAAAUCUGGGCCUCGGCACUUGCAGCCAGUGAACGCAAGUCAGUGCCGUAAGUACUCGGAGCCCAGGCUGUGCCAUGGGGCCGAAAGCUCCCCGUCGGGGUGGACACGGGGAUGAGUGGAUGGUAGUGAGGACAAGAGGCAGGUUCACUGAGGGGCGUCCCGUCUCACCACCUACCAUCUCUACAAAGCAGUCUGCUGCGGGGAGCGCUGGCUGUGCACGAGAGAGCAGUGGAGUUGAUGGAGAAGUCAGAUUGGGACAUUUAAAUUCUAGGAAUAUGACUAUUUUGAGAUACCUUUUUUCUCCAGAAGUCUGACUCCUAGGAGUUUCGACUCUGGAGAAAGCUCCGAACGCUGCUGAACCACUCAUAACUAGAGCAGGCCGCCCGCACCGUGAGGGGGCGCCCGGGGCCUCACACGCAUGGGUCACCCACGGUUCUCAGGGCGCCCUCCCCAGGAAAGUGUCUGCCCAGCCUUCAGGUCUCGGGCUUAACCAUCUCUUCCUCGAAGCAGCUUUUCUCUUACCGUCACACUGCUCCCUUUUCCUCCACCGUCCCUUCUGCCAAGGACAUUAACGCACGGCUGUGUAGCUCACUGCUCACUGGCCCCCCUGACAGACUGCGCGCUGCACGCGGGCAGGAGCCGUGACCGUCUGGACUCCUCCCGGGCCAGCGCUCAGCCCACAGACCCGCUCCAAGAUCAGCGUCUCCUUGCACAGGGCGGCGUGGCCAUCUGCCUUCUGCAGCCUCAGCCGACAGGAAGAAGCAACAGUUUAAAGUGGAAGAAGGGACUCUUUUAACUCAAAAAGCCAAAAUUACAUGUAUAAUGCGAGUGGAAAAGAAAAGCGGGGUAAAAAAAAGACUCGUAUUCAGAACUAGCAGAGAACCGACUCUGGGUCUUACCAGCAAAGAGCCCACUCACCUCAGGGCCCUGGGGUCUGAAACUGCUGCAGCCCAGCAGAGAACAGAGUCCAAACGGCCAUUUGAGAUCUAUAUUCAAGCAACUAUAAUAAUUUGGAAUCUGUACCUGAACCUGAAUCAUGACUUCAUGUCCCCACCAUGCACUCUGUAGAAAUAACAAUCCAUUUAAGGAAGUUUCCCAAUAAAAUUAAAUUAGUUUUUUUACGUUUUAGUACUUAAGUUAUAGUUGGUAGGAAAAUUCUUUUCAUCGGAGCUGCUCUUUUUCCAACUGAUGGCGUCACAAUUCUACACAAACCUCUAUUUAAAACACAAACGUCAGUGUCCAUUCACUGUCAUGAGCGACUUGAGUCCAAUGGAGUGAAAGAGAGACACUGUAUUCAUUUGGCCACAGGUAUCAGGAGCCUAAAAAAAAAAAUGCUCACACCUUUUCUCCUACUCAUUUCAAGUCUAAGAACCAGUUGUGAAUGAGUAACUAGAGCUAUGAAACUAUUUCUGUGUAAAGAUACUCAUUAUCAUAGUGAGAGAACGAAAUAAUCUAAAAGUUAAAAUCAAAAGUUGAAGAGAAAUGGUUACAUAAAUUAUUGUACAUCACAACCCAUACAGGAAAUGAAAUAAAAAUACAACCAAGAAGUUCGUUUAUACUAAUGUCAGAUAGUUCAUAAAUAUAAAAGAUUUCCUGCACUAGGUAGACGCAGUAACAUAGGCAGAGGCACAAAUACCAACAUAUUUUAUCCACACCAAAAAACACACCAAAAGAAAAGCAGUGGCCGUCUCUGGGUUAUAAGUUAAUCAGUGAAUUCUCUUAUACUGUCUGGAUUUCCCCAAAAGGUAGACU
RNA transcript from Camelus dromedarius (Arabian camel), 6458 nucleotides. It is a transcript of the gene named astrotactin 2, with no coding region annotated. The transcript is spliced from 27 exons. NCBI's taxonomy places the organism in Eukaryota, Metazoa, Chordata, Mammalia, Artiodactyla, Camelidae. The record is from RefSeq and is a predicted model, not a curated record.